AUCCAGCUGACGAGUUCCAAACAGGACGAAACGCGCAUCCUGGAU
RNAcentral lists this non-coding RNA (45 nucleotides) under Schistosoma haematobium. The record is from RNAcentral. Lineage: Eukaryota; Metazoa; Platyhelminthes; Trematoda; Strigeidida; Schistosomatidae.